This 468-nucleotide ribosomal RNA is filed under the name uncultured bacterium. RNAcentral describes it as "partial 16S ribosomal RNA". It matches the Rfam family "Bacterial small subunit ribosomal RNA", at positions 28 to 507 of the family's 1533-position model. The record is from RNAcentral.
GACGAACGCUGGCGGCGUGCUUAACACAUGCAAGUCGAACGGAAAGGCCCUGCUUUUGUGGGGUGCUCGAGUGGCGAACGGGUGAGUAACACGUGAGUAACCUGCCCUUGACUUUGGGAUAACUUCAGGAAACUGGGGCUAAUACCGGAUAGGAGCUCCUGCUGCAUGGUGGGGGUUGGAAAGUUUCGGCGGUUGGGGAUGGACUCGCGGCUUAUCAGCUUGUUGGUGGGGUAGUGGCUUACCAAGGCUUUGACGGGUAGCCGGCCUGAGAGGGUGACCGGCCACAUUGGGACUGAGGUUCGGCCCAGACUCCUACGGGAGGCAGCAGUGGGGAAUAUUGCACAAUGGGCGGAAGCCUGAUGCAGCAACGCCGCGUGCGGGAUGACGGCCUUCGGGUUGUAAACCGCUUUCGCCUGUGACGAAGCGUGAGUGACGGUAAUGGGUAAAGAAGCACCGGCUAACUACGUG